UACGAAGGGUGCAAGCGUUACUCGGAAUUACUGGGCGUAAAGCGUGCGUAGGUGGUUUGUUAAGUCUGUUGUGAAAGCCCGGCUCAACCUGGGAAUGGCAAUGGAUACUGGCAAGCUAGAGUGCGGUAGAGGGUAGUGGAAUUCCCGGUGUAGCGGUGAAAUGCGUACGAGAUCGGGAGGAACACCAGUGGCGAAGGCGGCUAUCUGGACGGUUCUGACACUAAGACUCGAAAGCGUGGGAGCAACAGG
RNAcentral lists this ribosomal RNA (249 nucleotides) under uncultured bacterium. RNAcentral describes it as "partial 16S ribosomal RNA". It matches the Rfam family "Bacterial small subunit ribosomal RNA", at positions 524 to 776 of the family's 1533-position model. The record is from RNAcentral.